UAUGUACUAGAAAAAUAAUGAUUAAAGCACUUUUAAACAUAAAACCAACAAGGAAAACUAGUGACCAGAUCAGCCUAAAUAGGAUGUACCUGUAAGACUGCUGACCCGUUCUUUAGCCCUUGACCUUUUAGAACCAAC
Molecule: long non-coding RNA, 138 nt
Organism: Rhodamnia argentea
Lineage: Eukaryota; Viridiplantae; Streptophyta; Magnoliopsida; Myrtales; Myrtaceae
Exons: 3
Source: RefSeq, a predicted model, not a curated record